GGAGUUGUAGCUCAGUGGCAGAGCGCUUGCCUAGCAUGUAUGAGGCCCUGGGUUCUAUCCCCAGCACCA
RNAcentral lists this transfer RNA (69 nucleotides) under Marmota monax (woodchuck). It matches the Rfam family "tRNA". Rfam says of the family: Transfer RNA (tRNA) molecules are approximately 80 nucleotides in length. Their secondary structure includes four short double-helical elements and three loops (D, anti-codon, and T loops). Lineage: Eukaryota; Metazoa; Chordata; Mammalia; Rodentia; Sciuridae. The record is from Rfam by way of RNAcentral.